Molecule: ribosomal RNA, 255 nt
Filed under: uncultured bacterium
Lineage: Bacteria
Description: partial 16S ribosomal RNA
Rfam family: Bacterial small subunit ribosomal RNA
Source: RNAcentral
UACGGAGGGUGCGAGCGUUGUCCGGAAUCACUGGGCGUAAAGGGCGCGUAGGUGGCCUGUGGAAGUCUGCGGUGAAAGCCCGGCGCUCAACGCCGGGUCGGCCGUGGAUACUCUCGGGCUUGAGCUUACUAGAGGCAGAUGGAAUUCCGGGUGUAGCGGUGGAAUGCGUAGAGAUCCGGAAGAACACCGGUGGCGAAGGCGGUCUGCUGGGGUAAUGCUGGACACUGAGGCGCGACAGCGUGGGGAGCAAACAGG